This 5513-nucleotide long non-coding RNA is filed under the name Brassica napus (rape). RNAcentral describes it as "long non-coding RNA (BNAP_LNC002276)". The record is from RNAcentral. Lineage: Eukaryota; Viridiplantae; Streptophyta; Magnoliopsida; Brassicales; Brassicaceae.
AAAUUGGCCUAGUGGCUAAAACACUUGGAUUAUAAAAAGUACCUUGCGGCGGAUGGAGAGGAGAGGUAAUCCUGAAGCGUCCAUAAGGACGAUGUUGUCUUUAGGAGAGUUCAUGUAGUUGUCAACCCUAAAGACAAGGUUUCCAUUAGAGUUGUAAACUGUGAAUCCAUCGCAGUUGAAGAGAAGAGACUUCCUCCACACCGUUAAAACCACGGCUGCUUUACUAUCACACAAGCUUUCCUCGUAAGUGUUUGGGAACUUUGGGUGAACUUUUGUCAUUUUCUUUCUUGAUUCUCUGUGUUUAUGUCUUUUCUUUGUGUGUGUUUGAUGAUUGUUGUUGGAGAAGAUGAGUUGAUAUUUGUUUGAUGAAGGUGGUUGCGUGUUUAUAUAUACAAAUGUAGAAAGAGAGAAUGUGGUGCUCAAAUGAAAAGAAUGGUCUCAUCUUCUUGUAUUCCACUAGAGGUAUCGUUUUCAGUCUAUUACUAUAAGAUAUUUAGUCUUUUUAAUUUAUGUCAUUAAUCUAAUUUAUUCCUUUAUAUAAUCCAAUACGGUGUUAAUUCACCAAAACUCCAACCAAAUAUUAUAUAGGAACAUGUAUUUUUAAUCCUGAUCUGACCAAUACUGGCCCUACAAAGUAGCUUGUAGUCUCAUGUUUAAUACAAAUCUAAUGCCAAGAGUUAGGAAAAAAUCACACACUAACCCUAGAUCAAAUAGUCGAGAUUAUAGAAGAAAUUUACAGGAGUAACAAACUACUAAUCGAAUUUACAGGAGAAAAUCACACACAAACCCUAGAUCAAAUAUAUAUUUGUUUUCUGAACUUGCUCUUUUAUGUUUUUUAUCUCUCUACAAUAUAUUGGUGUGUACCUUUUAGACUAAAAAUAAUAUUUAAAUAUUAUUUUUACUUACAUUUUUCUAUUAUAAAUACAGAAUAUUAUUGUCUCUUGUACAGAAAGAAAAAAAGAAUCUACAGCAACGAAAACCUACCGGCCAAAAUCUAUUGUCUUUCCACUCCAGUGCAUCUUUUUUUAUAAUGGAAAAGGAUUGUUUAUAUACGAAAUGUUCUUCGGGUUCUUUAUAUAUUUCUGCAGAAUUAUCACUUUAUUCUCCAAAAUUGAACCCAAAGUAAUAUAUGAUAUAACCUAGUAGUCUAUAUGAUAAACUGAUAAUCAAUAUGUAUUCUUGAUCAAAACCAAAUAUAGUUAAUUAUUGCAUGGCUCUUUAAGACCAAUUCUAUAUCAGAUAUCAGAUAAUGUAUUUUUAUAAAAUAAAGUUUUGAGUUAUUAGUAAUGAACAUUUUGAGCCUAGGGAAACCAUAAUCUAGUGGAGCUGUGGAGGAUAAGAAUUGGUGGAAAGCAAAGUUCAGAUAUUAUACUAUAAAUACCAGUUCAAAGUUUCAAACAUGGUCAUGAAAUAAAAUGGGUUAAGAAAUGAAGUUUUGAACCAAUCCUUGGUUUUAAUAUGAUAAGAUGAAAGGAGGACCACCACAUCAUCAUUCAUCAUUGUAAAUAGUUAAGCUUAAGAACAAAGUGUGUGGCUGAGAAGCGUUUAGCGGUGGGAAGAGAAGAAAAACCAUUCCCAAUAAAAUUACUAACUUUUUGAUUAAAAGAUAUUAUUAAAAUAUCCUUUGUGAUAUUUUUCCACGGCCGUUGGUAGUAAUGAAUGUUCCACUUACGUUGACCUCUCUUAUUUAUAUUCCUUUCGUUAUCUAUCGUUUGUUUAUAGACAAAAAGAUUGUGGUUUCUGCGGCAUAUGUACACAAAAAGUGAUUAUGACCUUUGAGAGGUAAGACGCGUCCCACUUUCACCAAAAAACAAUGGAUUGAAAAGUACGUGCUGCACUUUGAAGAAUAUGUUCUCUUUAGUGCACUGCAGAUGUAGUACAGCCUAAUUGUUCUUCCUACCAAAUCUGAUUCCUCACUAUGUAUAGUCUCUAUACCAAAUUAUUAUUCCAUAAUCUUAGCUUGAGUGUGUGUUUUGUAUGUUCAUUUUGCAUUCUACCUCGUACGUCAUCAUUAAAUGGGUAUUAUGUGAAUGAAGACCUUAAAUAAAUUAUAGGUUUCAAUGGAUGAAUCCAUUUACAUACAUAUGCGAAUUUAUCGUGAAUGUUUAUCACCAAUGAAAAUCGUGUCUUUGAUUAUUCUAAACCGGUUCACCAAAAAUGAAACAUUUCCAUAAAAAAGGUUCGAGAAUCAAAAACCUAAACAGAAUUGUAACGUUCUGACUGUCUCCGUCAGUGGAACUCCACGUCCGCUCACGCAAUCGAUAGAGUGGAGACAGGCCCGGCCCUGAAAAACUUUUCUAAAAGUUGGGCUGGAAGCACAAAAAGAAAUAAAGACUGUCAAGUGGUCUUGAAUCAAGUUACCUUCAAAUGGAACAUUAACUCCUUUAACCAUAUGAAGUAGUAUGAUAAAUUUAUAAAAAUGGCCGAAAUAUACAUCUAAUUUAUUUGCCGGAAGCAGAUGCUUCUACCGCUUCUGCCCAGGGCCGCUACUGGGUGGAGACAAUCAGUAUAUUAGAUUUGUUUUCUGGAAGUUCUAAAUAGUAAACUUAUCCUAUAAUCACCAAAAGAUUUUUAUGUGAUUUAAUUUGCUCUCACUCGUAUGAUAGUCAGAAUCAAUUUCUGAAAAAUUACUCAUUCUUUUACAAUAUUUCAAUUCAAGUACGCUUAAUCAUAAAUUAUUUUUGGGCAAAUUAUCAGAAAAUAAAUGUAAUUAGUGACAUAUUAGGUAAAUCAGUUUUUAAGAACAACAGGAGGAAAAGAAUGGCACACCUUGUUGGGUUUGUUAAAGCUCCAUGUCCAACUCUUUAUUAUCCGAUUAGUAGGAUAUUGUCCAUUUUGGGCCUUAAAAGCUAGCCCGCAUGGAUUUACUUUUGGUUUCUUUUCCAAAAGGCCUCGUACUAAUUAGAGUUGGACAUCUCUUUAUAUAUUAGACACUACUUGUCUAAUUCUCCAAUGUGGGACUUAGUUUGUUAUAUCAUAUUCUCCCCUUCAAACUAAGGAUCACAUUCAUCUCGUGUCCCACAACUGACUUCCAGAAUCUUUUGACUUAAUUUCUGCCACACACUUCUCAUUCCUAACUCAUAGGAUACCAUUCAUGUCUCAAAGGGUAUUUUGGUCUUCUUGCAGAUUUCUCGUCAACUGCUCUGAUACCAAUUGUUGGGUUUGUUAAAGCUCCAUGUCCAACUCUUUAUUAUCCGAUUAGUACGAUAUUGUCCACUUUGGACCUUAGAGGCUAGCCCGCAUGAAUUUACUUUUGGUUUCCUUUCCAAAAGGCCUCGUACUAAUUAGAGUUGGACAUAUCUUUAUAUAUUAGACACUCCUUAUCUAAUUCUCCAAUGUGAGACUUAGUUUGUUAUAUCACACAUCUCUAUGCCAAAAAUCAUAUACAACAUCAAAGUUCCUUCACAUACUCUUUUAUAUUAAUCAAAGCUGAUUUUAAAUCAUCUUGAUCACGUCUCUUAGAAAUCAAUUUGCUAUCAGUUUUAAAAACCCGCUUCUGCUUGCACUCUUCCUUUCAGCAUUUCUCACUGCAAUGCAUUCGAGUUUAUGUACCCCCCAAAAAUGAGAUGUCUGCUCAACCACCAACUCUAAUUCUUUUCUCUGCGUCCGUGACCUGCUUCUAAAGCAUUGGCCUCGUGUAGAUUUUUUACUUUCUUAUCAAGGGUUCACGUUACAGUCUCUCACGAACCGAUCUUCUCGAUUCAGAUGGUUUCUCCAAUAGCUGAAAUGUGGUUCUUCCUACAAAAUCAGAUUCCUCACUCUAUAUAGUCUAUACCAUCUCAAUAUUUUCUCAUCGUCCCAGCUCUAGUCACGGCUUCAUGUUCCCAUUGUAGUGAAAUGUGGCUGCUUUCAUAAACCAGAAUCUUCUGGACUGUAGCAGAAGCUGAAGAACACCAUGAACCCUAGAAUGAUUAAUCAUCUCUUUUCUCUCAAGUCCUAUUUCUCUACUCAGACACAUAUUUCAUUGUCGGAUAUUGUUUACUCUCUAUUUCUCACAUGUGCAACUGCAAAGUGCUUUUUUUUUUUGCUAAAAAACUGCAAAGUGCUUAUUACCCUCCUCGUUGAAGUAUCUUUACAUGUUGUAUUCGGAUUCAUCUCUUAUAAGUUGCCUAUGGAUCCUCAUAACAGAGGUCCAAGUCUUCAUGUCUGUUCCUAGCUAGUUUAAAUUUGUUAGCAGUUAACUUAAUUAUAAAUCAUUACUUCAAGUACAUAACCAUAAUUAUAUAUAUAACAAAACCAGUGUAGAAACUUAUCACGUGCAUAAAACGUUUGUCAUAAAGAAGUUUCAACUUAUCUCUCUGUUUUUUUUCUUGAUAACUCAACAAUCAAACUCAUGAUCAUCAGUCAUCACUUUUGUCACGUGCAAAAAAAUACAAGUUAUCAUGCAGUGUUCAAAAUGUUCUUAUAGCAACGGUUUAUGUUGAUUUAGUCUCACCGAUUUGGUCGGUUGAACCGUUCUAAAUAGCUUUAUGAUUUGCUAGAAAAGAGAACUUUCAUAACCAACAGUUGUUAAAUAUACUUAUCACCCUCAACCACGCCUCCUUUUUGUGAACCAUCCAUACAAAAUACACCGUUAAUCGACUUCAUUUAUAUAUAGUAUCAAGGCUAAAAUCAAAAACUGAAAACAAAAGUUGUUUCUGUUCAUGUGUAACCUAUAUAAGAACACACAUGCAUAAACUACAUAACAAAAAGGGAACUAAUAUAUACUUACAAAAGCUUGAAAAAUCAAUAAGAUCUAAACAUUUGGUCCAGAAUGAUGGUCAAUGCCAUGGCCACGCGAGGCUCCAUAUCCGAUUCAACUAUAAGUUUAAACACAUCUUUGCCAAAGGAACCUCCUCCAACCAUUGCAUCUUUCCUCUUGAUCUCUGCCGUUUUCUUCUUGUUCCUCACGUCUACUAUUUUGCAGCUUUUCUGACCAUAUGAUCCUUCAACCUCGUAUAGUAUUGUCUUCUUCGCGCUAACCCACGCCAAGCUCCUCUUGUUUGUUAGUAUGCUAACGUUUUUCUUUGCUGUAAAUAUUGGGUCUCUUUGUGUUUCUCCAUCAUAUACCGCCCAGCAAUCUCCCAAGCUCAACUUCUGAUCGAAUAAAAGAAGAAAAGAAAUUCAAGAUUAGUUUCAUUAUAAGGAUUCAACACUAACGAUAAAUUGGCCUAGUGGCUAAAACACUUGGAUUAUAAAAAGUACCUUGCGGCGGAUGGAGAGGAGAGGUAAUCCUGAAGCGUCCAUAAGGACGAUGUUGUCUUUAGGAGAGUUCAUGUAGUUGUCAACCCUAAAGACAAGGUUUCCAUUAGAGUUGUAAACUGUGAAUCCAUCGCAGUUGAAGAGAAGAGACUUCCUCCACACCGUUAAAACCACGGCUGCUUUACUAUCACACAAGCUUUCCUCGUAAGUGUUUGGGAACUUUGGGUGAACUUUUGUCAUUUUCUUUCUUGAUUCUCUGUGUUUAUGUCUUUUCUUUGUGUGUGUUUGAUGAUUGUUGUUGGAGAAGAUGAGUUGAUAUUUGUUUGAUGAAG